GUAGCAACCGGAUUAGAUACCCGGUAGUCCUAGCUGUAAACAUUGCCCAUUUGAUGUUGCUUUCCCGUUGAGGGAAGGCAGUGUCGGAGCGAAGGUGUUAAAUGGGCCGCUUGGGAAGUAUGGUCGCAAGACUGAAACUUAAAGGAAUUGGCGGGGGAGCACCGCAACGGGAGGAAUGUGCGGUUUAAUUGGAUUCAACGCCGGAAAACUCACCGGGAACGACCUGUGCAUGAGAGUCAACUUGACGAGCUUACUCGAUAGCAGGAGAGGUGGUGCAUGGCCGUCGUCAGCUCGUACCGUAGGGCGUUCACUUAAGUGUGAUAACGAGCGAGACCCACAUCUUUAAUUGCAAAUGUAUAUGGGAAUAUGCAUGCACUUUAGAGAAACCGCCAGCGCUAAGCUGGAGGAAGGAGUGGUCGACGGCAGGUCAGUACGCCCCGAAUUUCCCGGGCUACACGCGCAUUACAAAGAACGGGACAAUACGUUGCAACCUCGAAAGAGGGAGCUAAUCGCGAAACCCGUCCAUAGUUAGGAUUGAGGGCUGUAACUCGCCCUCAUGAAUCUGGAUUCCGUAGUAAUCGCGGGUCAACAACCCGCGGUGACAUGC
This 607-nucleotide ribosomal RNA is filed under the name uncultured bacterium. Its description in RNAcentral is "bacterial SSU rRNA". It matches the Rfam family "Archaeal small subunit ribosomal RNA", at positions 716 to 1327 of the family's 1478-position model. The record is from RNAcentral.